GACGAACGCUGGCGGCGUGCCUAAUACAUGCAAGUAGAACGCUGAAGGAGGAGCUUUCUCUUCUGGAUGAGUUGCGAACGGGUGAGUAACGCGUAGGUAACCUGCCUGGUAGCGGGGGAUAACUAUUGGAAACGAUAGCUAAUACCGCAUAACAGCAGAUGUUGCAUGACAUUUACUUAAAAGGUGCAAUUGCCUCACUACCAGAUGGACCUGCGUUGGAUUAGCUAGUUGGUGGGGUAACGGCUCACCGAGGCGACGAUCCGUAGCCGACCUGAGAGGAUGAUCGGCCACACUGGGACUGAGACACGGCCCAGACUCCUACGGGAGGCAGCAGUAGGGAAUCUUCGGCAAUGGACGGAAGUCUGACCGAGCAACGCCGCGUGAGUGAAGAAGGUCUUCGGAUCGUAAAGCUCUGUUGUAAGGGAAGAAAGAGUGUGAGGCUGGAAAGUUGACACUGUGACGGUAUCGUACCAGAAAGGGACGGCUAACUACGUG
Molecule: ribosomal RNA, 495 nt
Filed under: uncultured bacterium
Lineage: Bacteria
Description: partial 16S ribosomal RNA
Rfam family: Bacterial small subunit ribosomal RNA
Source: RNAcentral